UACUACUCUGGCUCCAGCAAUAUCAAGUGUUUUGGCAACAUGAGCUAGGCAAGGAGGCCGGCUCAGCUUCGGAGAAAUGAAACUGCACAGAGGCUCAGCCAGAGUGACAGUGCUGGCCCCCACCUCGAACCCUCUCUGUUGGCGACAGCAGCAAUCCAGAGGACACAGCUCCCCCUGCAUGCAACGAAAGAAGACAAGGUGGUUCACCGCAGCACGGGUGCCCACAGCAUAACACGGAAACUGUCGAAUGGCCUCCCAUCAGACACCCCGUAAACCUGUCGGGCACUCAUGCAACGGAAUAGAGAAUGGACGUUAAAGCCAGCCACAUGAACUAACAUGAAACUCAUCCAGGGUGGGGCCAUCACGGCCCAGGGGGUCAUCCGGCACCAUGAAGAGAUUCCCCGCAAAAGUGAAGGGCAGCAGGCUGGGCCCGGGACAGAGGAAGAAAGGUCACUACGGAGC
This is a long non-coding RNA of Dama dama (fallow deer), 462 nucleotides long. RefSeq lists it as uncharacterized. Lineage: Eukaryota; Metazoa; Chordata; Mammalia; Artiodactyla; Cervidae. The record is from RefSeq and is a predicted model, not a curated record. The transcript has 3 exons.